Molecule: non-coding RNA, 255 nt
Organism: Pelobates cultripes (western spadefoot toad)
Lineage: Eukaryota; Metazoa; Chordata; Amphibia; Anura; Pelobatidae
Source: the annotation of a GenBank genome assembly
CCCUACCCAUUAGUGAAGAUCCGUUAGGCAGAGUAGCUGUCGACAUUAUAGUUGCGCAGGCACUUUGGUGACUCUAGAGAACCUCGGGCCAAUCACACGUCCUCAUGACAACGACGACACAUUCAGAUGUCUGCCCUAUCAACUUUCGAUGGACUUUCUGCGCCUACCAUGGUGACCACGGGUAAUGGGGAAUCAGGGUUCAAUUCCGUAGAGGGAGCCUGAGAAACGGCUACCACAUCCAAGGAAGGUAGCAGG